AGCGUACACGGUGGAUGCCCUGGCAGUCAGAGGCGAUGAAGGACGUGCUAAUCUGCGAAAAGCGUCGGUAAGGUGAUAUGAACCGUUAUAACCGGCGAUGUCCGAAUGGGGAAACCCAGUGCAAUUCGUUGCACUAUCGUUAACUGAAUACAUAGGUUAACGAGGCGAACCGGGGGAACUGAAACAUCUAAGUACCCCGAGGAAAAGAAAUCAACCGAGAUUCCCCCAGUAGCGGCGAGCGAACGGGGAGCAGCCCAGAGUCUGAAUCAGCUUGUGUGUUAGUGGAACGGUCUGGAAAGUCCGACGGUACAGGGUGAUAGUCCCGUACACCAAAAUGCACAGGUUGUGAACUCGAAGAGUAGGGCGGGACACGUGGUAUCCUGUCUGAAUAUGGGGGGACCAUCCUCCAAGGCUAAAUACUCCUGACUGACCGAUAGUGAACCAGUACCGUGAGGGAAAGGCGAAAAGAACCCCGGCGAGGGGAGUGAAAAAGAACCUGAAACCGUGUACGUACAAGCAGUGGGAGCACCUUCGGGUGUGACUGCGUACCUUUUGUAUAAUGGGUCAGCGACUUAUAUUCUGUAGCAAGGUUAACCGUAUAGGGGAGCCGCAGGGAAACCGAGUCUUAACUGGGCGUUAAGUUGCAGGGUAUAGACCCGAAACCCGGUGAUCUAGCCAUGGGCAGGUUGAAGGUUGGGUAACACUAACUGGAGGACCGAACCGACUAAUGUUGAAAAAUUAGCGGAUGACUUGUGGCUGGGGGUGAAAGGCCAAUCAAACCGGGAGAUAGCUGGUUCUCCCCGAAAGCUAUUUAGGUAGCGCCUCGUGAACUCAUCUUCGGGGGUAGAGCACUGUUUCGGCUAGGGGGUCAUCCCGACUUACCAACCCGAUGCAAACUACGAAUACCGAAGAAUGUUAUCACGGGAGACACACGGCGGGUGCUAACGUCCGUCGUGAAGAGGGAAACAACCCAGACCGCCAGCUAAGGUCCCAAAGUCAUGGUUAAGUGGGAAACGAUGUGGGAAGGCACAGACAGCCAGGAUGUUGGCUUAGAAGCAGCCAUCAUUUAAAGAAAGCGUAAUAGCUCACUGGUCGAGUCGGCCUGCGCGGAAGAUGUAACGGGGCUAAACCAUGCACCGAAGCUGCGGCAGCGACACUAUGUGUUGUUGGGUAGGGGAGCGUUCUGUAAGCCUGCGAAGGUGUGCUGUGAGGCAUGCUGGAGGUAUCAGAAGUGCGAAUGCUGACAUAAGUAACGAUAAAGCGGGUGAAAAGCCCGCUCGCCGGAAGACCAAGGGUUCCUGUCCAACGUUAAUCGGGGCAGGGUGAGUCGACCCCUAAGGCGAGGCCGAAAGGCGUAGUCGAUGGGAAACAGGUUAAUAUUCCUGUACUUGGUGUUACUGCGAAGGGGGGACGGAGAAGGCUAUGUUAGCCGGGCGACGGUUGUCCCGGUUUAAGCAUGUAGGCUGAUUGUCCAGGCAAAUCCGGAUAAUCAAGGCUGAGGUGUGAUGACGAGGCACUACGGUGCUGAAGUAACAAAUGCCCUGCUUCCAGGAAAAGCCUCUAAGCAUCAGGUAACAUCAAAUCGUACCCCAAACCGACACAGGUGGUCAGGUAGAGAAUACCAAGGCGCUUGAGAGAACUCGGGUGAAGGAACUAGGCAAAAUGGUGCCGUAACUUCGGGAGAAGGCACGCUGGUGUGUAGGUGAAGUCCCUGCGGAUGGAGCUGAGACCAGUCGAAGAUACCAGCUGGCUGCAACUGUUUAUUAAAAACACAGCACUGUGCAAACACGAAAGUGGACGUAUACGGUGUGACGCCUGCCCGGUGCCGGAAGGUUAAUUGAUGGGGUUAUCCGUAAGGAGAAGCUCUUGAUCGAAGCCCCGGUAAACGGCGGCCGUAACUAUAACGGUCCUAAGGUAGCGAAAUUCCUUGUCGGGUAAGUUCCGACCUGCACGAAUGGCGUAAUGAUGGCCAGGCUGUCUCCACCCGAGACUCAGUGAAAUUGAACUCGCUGUGAAGAUGCAGUGUACCCGCGGCAAGACGGAAAGACCCCGUGAACCUUUACUAUAGCUUGACACUGAACAUUGAGCCUUGAUGUGUAGGAUAGGUGGGAGGCUUUGAAGCGUGGACGCCAGUCUGCGUGGAGCCAACCUUGAAAUACCACCCUUUAAUGUUUGAUGUUCUAACGUUGGCCCCUGACCGGGGUUGCGGACAGUGUCUGGUGGGUAGUUUGACUGGGGCGGUCUCCUCCCAAAGCGUAACGGAGGAGCACGAAGGUUAGCUAAUCCUGGUCGGACAUCAGGAGGUUAGUGCAAUGGCAUAAGCUAGCUUGACUGCGAGCGUGACGGCGCGAGCAGGUGCGAAAGCAGGUCAUAGUGAUCCGGUGGUUCUGAAUGGAAGGGCCAUCGCUCAACGGAUAAAAGGUACUCCGGGGAUAACAGGCUGAUACCGCCCAAGAGUUCAUAUCGACGGCGGUGUUUGGCACCUCGAUGUCGGCUCAUCACAUCCUGGGGCUGAAGUAGGUCCCAAGGGUAUGGCUGUUCGCCAUUUAAAGUGGUACGCGAGCUGGGUUUAGAACGUCGUGAGACAGUUCGGUCCCUAUCUGCCGUGGGCGCUGGAGAAUUGAGGGGGGCUGCUCCUAGUACGAGAGGACCGGAGUGGACGCAUCACUGGUGUUCGGGUUGUCAUGCCAAUGGCACUGCCCGGUAGCUAAAUGCGGAAGAGAUAAGUGCUGAAAGCAUCUAAGCACGAAACUUGCCCCGAGAUGAGUUCU
Molecule: ribosomal RNA, 2771 nt
Filed under: Klebsiella pneumoniae
Lineage: Bacteria; Pseudomonadati; Pseudomonadota; Gammaproteobacteria; Enterobacterales; Enterobacteriaceae
Description: bacterial LSU rRNA
Rfam family: Bacterial large subunit ribosomal RNA
Source: RNAcentral